GACGAACGCUGGCGGCGUGCCUAACACAUGCAAGUCGAACGGAAAGGCCCUGCUUUUGCUGGGUGCACGAUUGGCGAAGAGGUGAGUAACACGUGAGUAACCUGCCCUUACCUGUGUGAUAGCUUCAGGUAACUGGGGCUAAUACCGGAUAGGAGCUCCUGCUGCAUGGUGUGGGUUGGAAAGUUUCGGCGGUUGGGGAUGGACUCGCGGCUUAUCAGCUUUUUGGUGGGGUAGUGACUUGCCAAGGUUUGGACGGUUAGCCGGCCUGAGAGGGUGAACGGGCACAUUGGGCCUGAGAGACGGACCAGACGCCUACGGGCGGCAGCGGUGGAGAACAUUGCACAAUGGGCGGAAGCCUGAUGCAGGGAUGCCGGGUGCGGGAGGACGGUUUUCGGGGUAUAAACCGCUUUCGCCUGUGACGUAGCCUGAGUGACGGUAAUGGGUAAAGAAGCCACGGCUAACUACGUG
RNAcentral lists this ribosomal RNA (468 nucleotides) under uncultured bacterium. RNAcentral's name for it is "partial 16S ribosomal RNA". It matches the Rfam family "Bacterial small subunit ribosomal RNA", at positions 28 to 507 of the family's 1533-position model. The record is from RNAcentral.